Molecule: ribosomal RNA, 468 nt
Filed under: uncultured bacterium
Lineage: Bacteria
Description: partial 16S ribosomal RNA
Rfam family: Bacterial small subunit ribosomal RNA
Source: RNAcentral
GACGAACGCUGGCGGCGUGCUUAACACAUGCAAGUCGAACGGAAAGGCCCUGCUUUUGUGGGGUGCUCGAGUGGCGAACGGGUGAGUAACACGUGAGUAACCUGCCCUUGACUUUGGGAUAACUUCAGGAAACUGGGGCUAAUACCGGCUAGGAGCUCCUGCUGCAUGGUGGGGGUUGGAAAGUUUCGGCGGUUGGGGUUGGACGCGCGGCUUAUCCGCUUGUUGGUGGGGUAGUGGCUUACCAAGGCUUUGACGGGUAGCCGGCCUGAGAGGGUGACCGGCCACAUGGCGACUGAGAGACGGCCCAGACUCCAACGGGAGGCAGCAGUGGGGAAUAUUGCACAAUGGGCGGAAGCCUGAGGCAGCAACGCCGCGUGCGGGAUGACGGCCUGCGGGUUGUAAACCGCUUUCGCCUGUGACGAAGCGUGAGUGACGGUAAUGGGUAAAGAAGCACCGGCUAACUACGUG